This is a non-coding RNA of Potamilus streckersoni, 74 nucleotides long. Lineage: Eukaryota; Metazoa; Mollusca; Bivalvia; Unionida; Unionidae. The record is from the annotation of a GenBank genome assembly.
CACUCCGGUGGUCUAGCGGUUAGAGCGUCCGCCUCGGAUGCGGGAGGUCGUGGGUUCAAUCCAAGGUCGAGUCA